UUUGAAAAACCGGAGAUUGAUGCGCCGCCACUAAUGACAGAUUUUUAUUUGAUCACUGAGGGCUUUUUGUUUAU
RNAcentral lists this small nucleolar RNA (74 nucleotides) under Brassica napus (rape). Its description in RNAcentral is "Small Cajal body specific RNA ncR26". It matches the Rfam family "Small Cajal body specific RNA ncR26". The record is from Rfam by way of RNAcentral. Lineage: Eukaryota; Viridiplantae; Streptophyta; Magnoliopsida; Brassicales; Brassicaceae.